Molecule: transfer RNA, 75 nt
Filed under: Yersinia enterocolitica
Lineage: Bacteria; Pseudomonadati; Pseudomonadota; Gammaproteobacteria; Enterobacterales; Yersiniaceae
Description: tRNA-Ile
Rfam family: tRNA
About the family: Transfer RNA (tRNA) molecules are approximately 80 nucleotides in length. Their secondary structure includes four short double-helical elements and three loops (D, anti-codon, and T loops).
Source: RNAcentral
GGUUCUGUAGCUUAAAGGUAAAGCAGCCGACUCAUAAUCGGGGGAUUUCUGGUUCGAACCCAGAUGGAGCCACCA